GAUGAACGCUGGCGGCGUGCCUAAUACAUGCAAGUCGAGCGAACGGACGAGAAGCUUGCUUUUCUGAUGUUAGCGGCGGGCGGGUGAGUUACACGUGGAUAUCCUACCUAUAAGACUGUGAUAACUUCGGGAAACCGUAGCUAAUACCUGAUAAUUUUUUGAGCCGCAUGGUUCAAAAGUGAAAGACGGUCUUGCUGUCACUUAUAGAUGGAUCCGCGCUGCAUUAGCUAGUUGGUAAGGUAACGGCUUACCAAGGCAACGAUGCAUAGCCGACCUGAGAGGAUGAUCGGCCACACUGGAACUGAGACACGGCCCAGACUCCUACGGGAGGCAGCAGUAGGGAAUCUUCGGCAAAGGGCGAAAGCCUGACGGAGCAACGCCGCGUGAGUGAUGAAGGUCUUCGGAUCGUAAAACUCUGUUAUUAGGGAAGAACAUAUGUGUAAGUAACUGUGCACAGCUUGACGGUACCGAAUCAGAAAGCCACGGCUAACUACGUG
This 497-nucleotide ribosomal RNA is filed under the name uncultured bacterium. Its description in RNAcentral is "partial 16S ribosomal RNA". It matches the Rfam family "Bacterial small subunit ribosomal RNA", at positions 28 to 507 of the family's 1533-position model. The record is from RNAcentral.